GUACGCUCUUGGAGUUGCAAGCAUUGUGCGGAUCUGAAUGGACCGUCUGUGUUUGGGUUCUUUGGGAGUAUAUCGCAUUUCCCAGUAGUGUGCGUCAACAGGUGUUAGAACCAAGUGAUAAGCCCCGCAAGAAGGUGACUAGCUUCGGUUAGUGUUAUAGCUUGUGGUGUGCGAGCUUGGGUCUGACAGAGGAGUCGCGGCACAUGCUCUUUUGGGCUGGACUUUCUCUUUUCAGUUCGUAUCUAAACAUAGCGGACUGCACGCAGUGCGCUUGAACCUGUGCGGGCUGUCAAAGGGUGAAGUACACAAACUGUGCCAAGGUUGUUGGCGGUCAUAUGAUUUCAUACGACCCGUCUUGAAACACGGACCAAGGAGUCUAACAUGUGUGCGAGUCUUAGGGUGACUGAAACCCGCAGGCACAAUGAAAGUAAAGGCUGCUUGCAGCUGAAGUGAGAUCUCUCCUUUUGGGGAGCGCAUCAUUGACCGACCUAUUCUACUCCUAGAAAGGUUUGAGUAAGAGCACAUCUGUUGGGACCCGAAAGAUGGUGAACUAUGCUUGAGUAGGGCGAAGCCAGAGGAAACUCUGGUGGAGGCUCGUAGCGAUUCUGACGUGCAAAUCGAUCGUCAAACUUGAGUAUAGGGGCGAAAGACUAAUCGAACCAUCUAGUAGCUGGUUCCCUCCGAAGUUUCCCUUAGGAUAGCUGGAACUCGGAACAGUUUUAUCAGGUAAAGCGAAUGAUUAGAGGUCUUAGGGUUGAAACAACCUUAACCUAUUCUCAAACUUUAAAUUGGUAAGAAGCCCGACUUGCUUAAUUGAAGUAGGGCACAGAAUGAGAGUUCUAAGUGGGCCAUUUUUGGUAAGCAGAACUGGCGAUGCGGGAUGAACCGAACGCUGAGUUAAGGCGCCUAAAUCGACGCUCAUCAGACCCCACAAAAGGUGUUGGUUGAUCUAGACAGCAGGACGGUGGCCAUGGAAGUCGGAACCCGCUAAGGAGUGUGUAACAACACACCUGCCGAAUCAACUAGCCCUGAAAAUGGAUGGCGCUCAAGCGUCGUGCCUAUACUCAGCCGUCAGAGUAAAUAGCGAAGCUCUGACGAGUAGGAGGGCGUGGAGGUUGUGGUGAAGCCUUUGGCGUGAGCCUGGGUGAAACGGCCUCUAGUGCAGAUCUUGGUGGUAGUAGCAAAUAUUCAAAUGAGAACUUUGAAGACCGAAGUGGAGAAAGGUUCCAUGUGAACAGCAGUUGGACGUGGGUUAGUCGAUCCUAAGAGAUAGGGAAACUCCGUUUCAAAGUGCCCAAUCUUGGGCCGUUUAUCGAAAGGGAAUCGGGUUAAUAUUCCCGAACCGGAACGUGGAUAUUCUGGUCUCGUUUGGCCAGAUGUGCGGUAACGCAACUGAACUCGGAGACGUCGGCAGGAGCCCUGGGAAGAGUUCUCUUUUCUUGUUAACGACCUGACACCAUGGAAUCUGAUUGCCAGGAGAUAUGGUCCAAUGGUCGGUAAAGCACCACACUUCUUGUGGUGUCCGGUGCGCUCCUGAAGGCCCUUGAAAAUCCGAGGGAAAGAUUGAUUUUCACGUCCGUUCGUACUCAUAACCGCAGCAGGUCUCCUAGGUGAGCAGCCUCUGGUCGAUAGAACAAUGUAGGUAAGG
This 1648-nucleotide ribosomal RNA is filed under the name Pteroclava krempfi. Its description in RNAcentral is "eukaryotic LSU rRNA". It matches the Rfam family "Eukaryotic large subunit ribosomal RNA", at positions 434 to 1909 of the family's 3401-position model. Lineage: Eukaryota; Metazoa; Cnidaria; Hydrozoa; Anthoathecata; Cladocorynidae. The record is from RNAcentral.